GACGAACGCUGGCGGCGUGCUUAACACAUGCAAGUCGAACGGAAAGGCCUGCUUUCCCUUGUGGAUUGCGGGUACUCGAGUGGCGAACGGGUGAGUAACACGUGAGUGAUCUGCCCCCAACUUGGGUAUAAGCCUGGGAAACUGGGUCUAAUUCCCGAUAGGACUGCAGGGUGGUGCCUGUGGUGGAAAACGAUUUUCUAGUGGUUGGGGAUGAGCUCGCGGCCUAUCAGCUUGUUGGUGGGGUAAUGGCCUACCAAGGCGGCGACGGGUAGCCGGCCUGAGAGGGUGGACGGCGACAUUGGGACUGAGAUACGGCCCAGACUCCUACGGGAGGCAGCAGUGGGGAAUAUUGCACAAUGGGCGGAAGCCUGAUGCAGCGACGCCGCGUGGGGGAUGACGGCCUUCGGGUUGUAAACUCCUUUCGACCGCGAGGAAGCCACCUGGUUGGAAGGGUGGUGACGGUAGUGGUAGAAGAAGCACCGGCUAACUACGUG
This 494-nucleotide ribosomal RNA is filed under the name uncultured bacterium. RNAcentral describes it as "partial 16S ribosomal RNA". It matches the Rfam family "Bacterial small subunit ribosomal RNA", at positions 28 to 507 of the family's 1533-position model. The record is from RNAcentral.